GGACCGCUGCGCUCAGACACUGACGCACGCUUCCUGCCGGCGACGGAACACUGAGAAGCGCAGCUUUAGGGAUGGCCAGCCUCCUGCUUAGCCCACGGCGUGGACAAAUUACAGGAGGCAAGGACACCUAAGCAUCUGAGCCAGCAGCAAAUGGAGGUGGCAAACGUAACAGUGUCACCUGCUUUACUCAAAUGUUGAAGUCUUCAAAUGAACAUCUGGACAGGUCUGACCAUCUCACUCCCACCUAUAGCCAGCCUUCCUAUUGAUUGCAGCAGUUCUCCAGUAUCCAAGCUAGAUGUUCUCAGAGACAAAGUGUCUUCUCUAUGUUUACAGCGCAAUAAAACUGAAAUCUGACACCCUGACAUUUAACUGCCCUGCAUUGUGUUCCUGAUCUCGAUUUGGUCUGUUCACACUCUUCCAGAUGUUGUAAGCCACUUUAGUGGUACAUCAUUAAAUGUGUCUACUUAAAGGAAAGCGUCAUUUUGUGUGAAU
Long non-coding RNA from Polypterus senegalus (gray bichir), 492 nucleotides. RefSeq lists it as uncharacterized. Lineage: Eukaryota; Metazoa; Chordata; Cladistia; Polypteriformes; Polypteridae. The transcript has 3 exons. The record is from RefSeq and is a predicted model, not a curated record.